GCUCGCAGCAAUGCGGGAGUGGCGGACGGGUGAGUAACGCGUGGGAACGUGCCCUUUGGUUCGGAAUAACUCAGGGAAACUUGAGCUAAUACCGGAUAAGCCCUGAGAGGGGGAAAGAUUUAUCGCCGAAGGAUCGGCCCGCGUCCGAUUAGCUUGUUGGUGAGGUAACGGCUCACCAAGGCGACGAUCGGUAGCUGGUCUGAGAGGAUGAUCAGCCACACUGGGACUGAGACACGGCCCAGACUCCUACGGGAGGCAGCAGUGGGGAAUAUUGGACAAUGGGGGCAACCCUGAUCCAGCCAUGCCGCGCGAGUGAUGAAGGCCUUAGGGUUGUAAAGCUCUUUCGACGGGGACGAUAAUGACGGUACCCGUAGAAGAAGCCCCGGCUAACUUCGUGCCAGCAGCCGCGGUAAUACGAAGGGGGCUAGCGUUGCUCGGAAUCACUGGGCGUAAAGCGCACGUAGGCGGAUCUUUAAGUCAGGGGUGAAAUCCCGGGGCUCAACCUCGGAACUGCCCUUGAUACUGGGGAUCUCGAGUCCGGAAGAGGUAAGUGGAACUCCGAGUGUAGAGGUGAAAUUCGUAGAUAUUCGGAAGAACACCAGUGGCGAAGGCGGCUUACUGGUCCGGUACU
This 631-nucleotide ribosomal RNA is filed under the name uncultured Hyphomicrobiales bacterium. RNAcentral describes it as "bacterial SSU rRNA". It matches the Rfam family "Bacterial small subunit ribosomal RNA", at positions 68 to 741 of the family's 1533-position model. The record is from RNAcentral. Lineage: Bacteria; Pseudomonadati; Pseudomonadota; Alphaproteobacteria; Hyphomicrobiales.